Molecule: ribosomal RNA, 86 nt
Filed under: Janthinobacterium sp. NKUCC06_STL
Lineage: Bacteria; Pseudomonadati; Pseudomonadota; Betaproteobacteria; Burkholderiales; Oxalobacteraceae
Also listed under: 1 other name
Description: partial 16S ribosomal RNA
Rfam family: Bacterial small subunit ribosomal RNA
Source: RNAcentral
GGGCGCUUACCACGGUAGGAUUCGUGACUGGGGUGAAGUCGUAACAAGGUAGCCGUAUCGGAAGGUGCGGCUGGAUCACCUCCUUU